RNAcentral lists this ribosomal RNA (568 nucleotides) under uncultured bacterium. RNAcentral's name for it is "bacterial SSU rRNA". It matches the Rfam family "Bacterial small subunit ribosomal RNA", at positions 224 to 806 of the family's 1533-position model. The record is from RNAcentral.
GAUGGCCUCGCGUCCGAUUAGUUAGUUGGUGGGGUAAAGGCCUACCAAGACCACGAUCGGUAGCCGGACUGAGAGGUCGAACGGCCACAUUGAAAUUGAGAAACGGUCCAGACUCAUACGGGAGGCAGCAAUGGGGAAUAUUGGGCAAUGGGGGAAACCCUGACCCAGCAACGCCGCGUGAAGGAAGAAGGCCUUCGGGUUGUAAACUUCUUUGAUCAGGGAAGAAACAAAUGACGGUACCUGAAGAACAAGCCACGGCUAACUACGUGCCAGCAGCCGCGGUAAUACGUAGGUGGCAAGCGUUAUCCGGAUUUACUGGGUGUAAAGGGCGUGUAGGCGGUCUCGCAAGUCGGAUGUGAAAUUCCCGGGCUUAACCCGGGCGCUGCAUCCGAAACUGCGGGACUUGAGUGUUGGAGAGGAUAGUGGAAUUCCUAGUGUAGCGGUAAAAUGCGUAGAUAUUAGGAGGAACACCGGUGGCGAAGGCGACUAUCUGGACAGUAACUGACGCUGAGGCGCGAAAGCGUGGGGAGCAAACAGGAUUAGAUACCCUGGUAGUCCACGCCGUAAA